CAGCUUCAUUGAAGUCAUCUGCCUCUCGAUAUCUCUUUCUCCUUACAGCUGAUUAAAAGCAGAGAGAGCAAACCAAUCCCGGCAUCAAUCUGGUAUUUUGGCAUCUGGGAUGAGGCUUACAGCUAAUAACUUGUAUGGGUUGGCAUCAAAACCACGAAAAAUAUCUGGUUUGGCAUCCUUCUCUCUGGUCUUUUUUUUUUUUUUAUUAUUACUGUUGUGCUACUGCUACUGGCUAUCGCACCGCUUCGAACCCAUUCGAUGAAACCCAAUCGUCCCGUCGGUUUGAUCGAUUUUGAGUCCUUGAUCUUACUCUGAAGAAGAAGAAGAAGAAUCACCCAGACAGACACCGAGAAAGUUUUGAGUUUGCUUUGCUGCCAUUUGUGGAUGCAUGUCAAUGUCAUCUUCUUCAAAACCAAGCAUCAAUUCGAUCUGAAUUGGAUCCUUCUGCUGUAAAUUUAGGAUCUUUGAAUACCUGUUCAUGAAUUACAUUGGAUUUUAUUUUUAUUUUUCGGGCCCUUCCUUUGUACCUUGAUGAAAUCUUUCACCCUGUUGUUGCCGUUUUGAUGUCUGUAACAUUUGUUCUAAUCUUCAGAGAGGUAUGUUGCCUACUCGUUUUGUCUUAAGCUCAUUGAGAUGCAAUGGGAUAUUGGGAUUGCGAUUGACUUGUGACUUGCCAUUCACAAGCUAUAUGCUCAAGAUAUGUAUGGGCUUUCUGUUGGCUUGUUCGCAUUCUGAUGAUCAUCUGCUAUCCAGUAUCGCCUACCCAAUUGGAAAAGAGGUCCAAAACAUCACAGCGCACUCCCACUGGUACUGCAUUGCUCAGACUUGUUUGGUUUGCAAUAGCGAUCCUAAGCUUGAUGUCAACUAUUCUGUAAGUAAGCUUUAAAUUUGUCAAUGACAAAUGAUUACUGAGAAAAGUGUUGUUAAUAAAGAAAGACAAAUAUAUAUAAUCACACUUGUCCACCUACACUUGCGCACAUAAUCAAGCAGAAUGUGUAAGUGGAUCACAUUAUAUGCUGGAAGAAUUAACAUGACCUAAAAAUUUGGACUUUAAGUGGGUGAUUUUAUUCUAUUUGAUGUGCUACUGCUGGUCUUUGCAUAUUCUUCUUUCUCUUAUUUGCUUAUGCGCAAUGGCCCUUGAUUCCUGCACGCACCACAAACAUCCUCUUCUUGUGCUCGAUUCGAUACCGGCCGUGGAAAACUGAAGUUAUCUUAAAGAAAGUAGUCAUUGCACUUGGCAAGAGUGUAGCUGGAAGUAUCAAAGAGUAAGGUUUGAGCUUCUUUUUCUUCUAAUAACCUGAAAUGGUUUAUUUCAGUUGUGACUAUGGAUUUUGAGGGUCUGAUUAUUACAGAAGCUAUUUGAAGAGUAUAAGAAAUUAUAGAGGGAUUUUAUAGUAAGUUGGGAGAAGCCCAAUGUGUUUAUGAAGAGUAAGUUGGCUGCUGUCAAAGCUUGCUGUUCUUUUUUUUCUUUUUCAUGUUGCAUACAUAAAUAUGCUACAAGGUGAUCUACUGAUCUACAAUGUGAUCUUUGGGUUGUCAAAGAAUGCAUCUAGGUCCUAGAUUUGGCCCAGUCUAACCAUUAAGAGUCGAGGACCUUAGGUGGGGAUGCACACAAACAUGAUAGUUUAUAGGUCCUAGAUUUGGCCCAGUCGUAUUCUUUUGUACAUUUGGAAAUGAAGUUCAGAGUAUGGCAUAGGAAUGGAGGUGUCAACAAGUGGUGACAUCUAUAGCUAUGAAAUCCUGCUAUUUGAGAUGCUGAUAGGCAAGAGAUUGAUAUAUGACGUGUUUAAAGACGGCCUGAACUUGCAUAAAUUUGUCAAAUAAGGCUUUGGCCUCCUUAUCCUAUUGGAUGGUGAUCAGAGCUGAGUCUUCUAGCCAUCCCAGCCAGCUUUUGAGCAAGCAGCACUUGGAGCCUAUUAUUGAAGAGGAGCUUUUGAACGAGCACAUGGACACUAUUGAAGAGGACAUGUAGAACAAGAAACUUUCAACUAUGUCAUUUUUUUUUUGUUUACUGAUAAUCUGAUAUUAGUGUGCUUUGUUUAGUGUACGACUGGCUUUGAUUAACCAACAAGAUGCUACCAGUCUACUUUGUUCUUGGGAUUUUAUGAUCUGUACCUAAAAUUAUGCCUGACCGAGAUGGCUAGAAGACUCGGCUCUGAUCAAGAUGCUACCAGUAGACUUUGUUUGUGGGAUUUUAUGAUUUUUACCAAUUUUGAAUGCUAUGGAAACUUUCUAAGUA
Rosa rugosa (rugosa rose) is the source of this 2239-nucleotide long non-coding RNA. RefSeq lists it as uncharacterized. NCBI's taxonomy places the organism in Eukaryota, Viridiplantae, Streptophyta, Magnoliopsida, Rosales, Rosaceae. The transcript has 4 exons. The record is from RefSeq and is a predicted model, not a curated record.